RNAcentral lists this transfer-messenger RNA (355 nucleotides) under Moraxellaceae bacterium. It matches the Rfam family "transfer-messenger RNA". From Rfam's summary of the family: Bacterial tmRNA, also known as 10Sa RNA or SsrA, is named for its dual tRNA and mRNA-like properties. Its role is to liberate the mRNA from a stalled ribosome. Lineage: Bacteria; Pseudomonadati; Pseudomonadota; Gammaproteobacteria; Moraxellales; Moraxellaceae. The record is from RNAcentral.
GGGGGUGACAUGGCUUCGACGCCGGUUAUGAAUCCCGAAGGGGCAUGCGGAGAGGGUGACAUCUCUCGUUAAUCAAAGUCACAAGCAACAUAGUCGCAAACGACGAAAACUACGCACUGGCAGCUUAAUACCCUGCCUACGACUGAAGCUGCCUGCCCAUGGGCGGUGGACGUCGGCGCAAAAAACAUGGGAUCGCCUGAUGUCGCGCCUCGCGACUGACGGUUAAACCUCAGAGGCUCGUCUUCAUCGCCCUGUCGAUCGGGUAGAUGCGGAUUAAAUCAAUAGACCGACUAAGCAUGUAGAACCGAGGGUGGAAUGCUGACGGACGCGGGUUCGAUCCCCGCCACCUCCACCA